RNAcentral lists this ribosomal RNA (459 nucleotides) under uncultured bacterium. Its description in RNAcentral is "partial 16S ribosomal RNA". It matches the Rfam family "Bacterial small subunit ribosomal RNA", at positions 338 to 795 of the family's 1533-position model. The record is from RNAcentral.
CCUACGGGUGGCAGCAGUGAGGAAUAUUGGUCAAUGGCCGAGAGGCUGAACCAGCCAAGUCGCGUGAGGGAAGACGGCUCUACGGGUUGUAAACCUCUUUUGUCGGGGAGCAAAGAGAGUCACGUGUGACUCAUUGAGAGUACCCGAAGAAAAAGCAUCGGGUAACUCGGUGCCAGCAGCCGCGGUAAUACGGAGGAGGCGAGCGUUAUCCGGUUUUAUGGGGUUUAAAGGGUGCGCUGGCGGAGGUGCAAGUCAGCGGUCACAUUGCGGGGCUCAACCCCGUACUGCCGUUGAAACUGCAUCCCUAGAGUGCGCGAGAGGUAUGCGGAAUGCGUGGUGUAGCGGUGAAAUGCAUAGAUAUCACGCAGAACUCCGAUUGCGAAGGCAGCAUACCGGCGCGCAACUGACGCUCAUGCACGAAAGCGUGGGUAUCGAACAGGAUUAGAUACCCUGGUAGUC